This is a long non-coding RNA of Panonychus citri (citrus red mite), 1906 nucleotides long. RefSeq lists it as uncharacterized. The record is from RefSeq and is a predicted model, not a curated record. The transcript is spliced from 6 exons. Lineage: Eukaryota; Metazoa; Arthropoda; Arachnida; Trombidiformes; Tetranychidae.
UUGGCGGUCAAUUGUUUUCUCUUUUCUUGUCACUUAAAUUCAAUUGAUUAGUUGAUGUUUUUUUCUCAAGUGUAAUCAGGACAUUGACCACCAACGGCUAUUUACUAGUUAACCUGUAAACUUGGUUUCCCUUGAUGGUUUUUCGCUUUUCUCUUCCUCCCACUUGACCCAACCAAGGUGAACAUAUUAUAUAGUUUUCUCCUAUCUAAUCAUGAGGAGAAGAUAAUAAUUGAUAGAUGAAGAUAAACAGGUCAAAGGAGCCAAAUUAGGAUAGAAGAGAGAGAGAAAAUGAUGCCUAGGAAGUAUUUGGCCCACCCAAAUAAAAAGAAAAGAAAAAUUAUAUUUACAGGGAAUAUGUACUUACCCUGCCUACCUUAUGGCUCAUCACUGUCAAUAAGUUUGAAGAUGUUGUUAUUGCCUCUUUUCAUUUUGAGAUCUUCAUUUAACCUGACGAACGUAUCUCUCUCUCUCUCCUAUUCCUCUCCUCUCUCUCUCUCUCUCUCUCCAUCAUCCCAAACCUUACCCAUCACGUUUUCAACUGUCUGGGUGGUUUUUUGGUUCAUACCUGUGCUUGUUAUUGAAAGAGGAGGAAGAGCGAUAAAAAAAGGAGAAGGAGGAAGCUCUGGAUUAAGAUACUAAGGCGUUUAUACUUUCAACAGCCAACGGAAUUACCUGGUCACUGUGUUAACUUAUUCACCAACAAUAGAUUAUCCCUUUGACCGAUCAUUAACCAAUUUACCAUUGAUCACAACGGGAAAAAGUCAAAUUGACAAAUUGUACAACUAUUAUUUUCAGAUUAUCCAGUUGACACAUAAUUAAGCUCGUUAUCACAAUCAUCAUCACCUUGAAAACAGGAUUAACCUAAAUCACCAUAACAAGUUGUGACACAUUGAGAUUGAUUAUCAAAUUUGGUCAAAUUUGUAUACAUAUUUAGCUGAUGGACAAAAAAAACAGUUGACAUGACAGAUUAAUGGAAAUACGGAUAAGAUUAAAUUGUGUGAAUUUUCACAUGAUUAUUAAUCAUACGCUAAUCAUAUCAACCAGUUAAAUUACGAUAAUCAUCCGAAAGUUGAUCCGUACACAGUUGAGAUGUGUAGUGACAGUGGGAAAGGUUAAUUUAAAAGUUUAAAUAUUCAAGUUGAUACCUUGAUGAGGAGCAAUUAAUUUUUGAUAUGCAUAAAUACAAUUAAUUUUGUACGUUAAUUUAGUCCAACAACAACAAGAUGAAGCAAUAGACCUCAACAAAAUGAAUGGUCAACCAGUUCUGAUGAUUACCAAUCAAGAUAACAUCUCGGAAUCAACAACAUCCUUUAUCAUUAAUGGUAUCACAGGAUAAUCAUUUUGUUCAAGUUAAAUCAGUAAAAAUUAAUCUUCAUCAUUUUGACUGAUAAUCGUGAGACCCACCACAGGUUUAAUUACAAUGGUUUCCCUCCCGAUUCCUGGGAUUAAUUGUUGAAAGUUAUCAUGAUUAACUUUAAUUUGGAAGCCAAUGAUUGUCAUAAUAAUUUGACAGGAAUACACAAAAGAUUAUCAUUCAAUUUAUUAAUUGUUACAAUCCAGUUAAUUUAAAAUUCUUAACCAUAAUCCAGUUAUACUCUGAAAUAACGGUAAACAGUUAAUGGUAACAAUUUACACUUUAUCCUUGCUAAUCACGUUUCAAUGGUUAAUUUAAAAACAAUGAUAAAGAUAAUGAUUAAGCUUUUCCAUUGUUAUUAUAUAUACGAUACAGAUUAGACAAAGUAAUCAAAUUAACUAACAAUCAUAAUUAGUGUUGGAAAAUUAUUUUAAAUUUUCUGAUAUUAAACUGGUUUAAAUUUGAUUCUGUAUUGUUUUUGUUUUUGUAGGUUAACCUGAUUAACUGAUAACAAUUUAACAACACAAAAAUUAAAGGUAAAAUUAACUCUCA